CAGUGCGGUACUCCAUCUG
RNAcentral lists this unclassified non-coding RNA (19 nucleotides) under Mus musculus (house mouse). RNAcentral describes it as "oocyte_clustered_small_RNA8793". Lineage: Eukaryota; Metazoa; Chordata; Mammalia; Rodentia; Muridae. The record is from RNAcentral.